UUAUCUCGUUUUUUUUCAGGAUAAGUUAUAGUACUACAUUUCAUCAAUAUCUUGACAAGCAAGAUACUAUGGUUGAAAUCCUUAAUUGAUAUCUUGAAGAUCCUUGAAGUCAGAUUUUAUUCCUUCUUAUUUUAAAAUUCAAAAGAGUCAACAUUAAAUUAAGCAAUAAUGUAUUUAUAAACAAUCACCUUUCUUUAAUGUUUAUUCAUUUCGUUCGUGUAUAUUUAAGAAAUGAAAACUGUAACUGUACUAAGUUCAAUUUUCGUAUCGUUUAUAUGCCUUACGGAAAACCGACCUUUUCCGGAAUCGACUUUUGUUUUAUCACCGGAAAUGAUUUUGAAAUUUGAAUUUCGAAACGAAAACAGGAUAUCAACAAAGAGAGCCAAGAAAAUUGUUUGUUACGCGAUAUAUACUCACUUGGAGCUAAAAGAAAAGCCACAAAGGACAAGUUCAAUAUGCAGGUUUACAAUUUGGAAGUGGCGCAGGUUCUUUGAAAUGUCUACAAUACAAGGGCAUACAAUACAGAAAAGAUAUCUGGAUAUUUGAAUAAAUUAUAUUUUUUGUGACAAAAUAGAAACGAGUUGUUUAUUUAAAUCAAUCUUUUAGUCCAACAGUGUGCUUUCAUAAACAUAUUAAAUUUUGCUUUCCUUUGAAGUAUUUCAAAUACAUACAUGUAUAAACAACUCAUUUAAUGACAUCUGUGUGUUUCUCGGAAGUUAAGUUAUAUUAUUAUCAUCAUUGCAAAAACAAUGCGUAACACUUCGAUAAGUUAUUAUGUGCCUAUAGUAUACUUCUAGGACUGUAUCAUAUGCCCUUAGAUACAAAUGACAAGUUAUAAACUAUGUCACUCUACAGAGUUUAACACUUAAAAAGGACAAUAAGAUGUUUAAUGACAUUAUGUAGCAGGGCUUUUAAAGGCCCUUACAUGAUACAAUGCAUUUGAUGAAAACUAAAAAAAAACAAGAAAAACAACAGCCUGAUUUAUACAAAACAAUAAAAGAAAAAAAAUAUGAUAGACAUCAAUCAUCGAGUAUAAUGAAAUAAGACUCUGGACUGGACACAUAUCUAGUCUAAAGUUUUUUAUGUGGUUUUUUUUAAUAACUAAAUGAAGUUCAGCCAGGCAUAUUGCUCUCUCUUAACACGGUCAGCCAUUUAUCGUCCCCUUCCGACAGACUAUCAUCGUUAUUUGUUUCAAAACUUUAAAGGGGAGGGGAUGUAUAUCCUUCAGGCAACGUGAAUCGUUCUAUAAUAAAGGAAUGUGCAAGAAGUUCAUAUAUGAAUGUAAGAUUAUUUUUUUUUUCAGAAGCAUGGCACAGCAAGAAAAAGAUAUAAGACACUACAAGACAUUCCUAGUGAUUUUGAAUAAGACAAUUGAUUGACUUUUUCAAUGUAUUCUUAAAUAAAUCAAAUAGUUGAUGUAAAA
Mytilus californianus (California mussel) is the source of this 1423-nucleotide long non-coding RNA. RefSeq lists it as uncharacterized. The transcript has 2 exons. The record is from RefSeq and is a predicted model, not a curated record. Lineage: Eukaryota; Metazoa; Mollusca; Bivalvia; Mytilida; Mytilidae.